UACGAAGGGUGCAAACGUUGCUCGGAAUUAUUGGGCGUAAAGCGCACGUAGGCGGCUUGACAAGUCGGAUGUGAAAGCCCUCGGCUCAACUGAGGAAGUGCAUCCGAAACUGGCAGGCUAGAGUACUAAAGAGGGUCGCGGAAUUCCCGGUGUAGAGGUGAAAUUCGUAGAUAUCGGGAGGAACACCGGUGGCGAAGGCGGCGACCUGGGUAGAUACUGACGCUGAGGUGCGAAAGCGUGGGGAGCAAACAGG
This 253-nucleotide ribosomal RNA is filed under the name uncultured bacterium. RNAcentral's name for it is "partial 16S ribosomal RNA". It matches the Rfam family "Bacterial small subunit ribosomal RNA", at positions 524 to 776 of the family's 1533-position model. The record is from RNAcentral.